UUAAAUUGUUUGAACUGUAUUGAUUCAUCUGGGCUAGGGUUUGACUUUUUUAAAGGGUUUCCACAUCUUCUCUGAUCUUUAUGCUGAAGCUGACAGGGUGGCAGUGACUUUCUGGAAGAUAAAUUGUUGUUCAUUGCUAAUUGUUAUAAGCUGUCAGUAAUUCUCAGUUUCCAGCUAUGUUGUGAAAGGAAGUGGUUUCAUUUCUCUGUAUUUAUAGUUUCAUAAACCAGUUACUUAUAAAAUGAAAACAAGAUUGUUUCCACUGUGAGCAAAAUCAUGGGGUUUAUAUGACAAAAUUUUUUUUCACUCUUAUUUUUUCUCAGAAGUAUUUGUCUCACGACCUGAAUUCGAGGCCAUCUGAGUGUUGCUUAAACUCUGCUGUCUUUCUGGUUUUGUUUUGGGUUUUUUUUGCAUUAGGCUUUGGGGGUUUUUUUUUCAGUCUUUCAGUGUUUCAUAUUCCAGUAGACUUCAGGAAAUCAUAGCAUAAAGCCAGAAACAGGUGUUGAUUCUGAGACUGGAAGGUUGUAAGUAACUAGUGUGGAAGCAGUGAGUUAGCUUUUGUACUGAGUUGGGAGGAGACAGCAGUAUGUUUUUAGGAAAGACCAUCAUGCAUCAUAUAAUCAUCUCCUUGGCUUUGCUUCCCUACCUAAUUUACCCUUCUUAUUUACUACCAUCCUGUUAACCUACCUCAUUUUGUGUUUUUCAGUAGCAGGUGUCCCUCUUUCCUGAUCUGUCACAGACACCAUUCCUGCCCUUCAACUUAGGCAGUAUAGAAAUACCAUUCUUAAACCACCCCUUCUUGCUGCUACUUUGAAUUGAAGAAUUUACCUACUUGGAAUAAAAGCAGCAUAAUUGUAAAGCUGCUGUGUUUCAUCCUUCAAGUGAUAUAAAGGCCCUGGGGGUCCAGGGGAACAGCAAGUUGAACCAGAGCCAGGAAUGUGCCCUCUCAGCAAAGGCCACUAAGGGUGACCUGGGUUGUGUGGGGAGUGUGGCUGAGGGAGCUGCAUCUCCUUUUUGGUGAGGGGCACCUGGGGUGCUGUGUCCAGUUUGGGGCUCCCCAGCACAAGGGAGAUGUGGAGCUGCUGGAUGGAGUCCAGCAAAGUGCCACUGAAAUGAUGAAGGGACUGGAGUGUCUCUCCUGUGAGGAAAGGGGAGAUCUGAGAGAUCUGGGGCUGUUCAGCCCAGAAAAAGAGAAGGUUCAGACAGAAUAUCAUGAAUGUAUAAAUACCUGAAGGGAGAGUGCAGAGAAGGCAGAGAUAAAGCUGUUCAGUUGUACACAGUGAUGGGACAAGAGACAGUGGGUACAAACUGAAACAGGGUUUUGCCUGAACAUCACUAAACACUUUUUUUUUACUGUGAAAGUGGUAGGACUCUGGGCACAGAUUGCCCAGAGAGGUGAGGGACUCUCCAUCCUUGGAGACACUCAAAAGCUGUCUGAAUGUGGUCCUGGGCAUUCUGCUCUUGGCUAAACCUGCUUGAGAAUUUGGAGUUGGACCAGAUGACUUCCAGAGGUGUCUUCCAGUUUCAACCAUUCUGUGUCUAACCAGGUUACGUGAUAAAUAAUUGCUUUGGUGCAUCAGUUUCCGGAAGAUAGUGCUGAGUAAAAGACCUGCCUUCUGUUUUAAGAUGUUAGUUGGCUCUUAAUUUGAUUUCUUUGCUUACCUUCUUCCCUGAUGGCAGGGAACAACUGGAUGUGGCACUCAGUGCUCUGGUCCUGUUGGCAAGGUGGUGAUCAGUAUAAGGCUGGACUCGAUGAUCUCGGAGGUCUUUUCCAACCAAAAUGAUUCUGUGAUUCAAAUAAUAAAAUGCAGUGCUGUUUGCAAGUGAUGUUUUAAUUUGCUUGUUCCUCCUUGCAGCCAGCAGCAGAAACUUUCUUUAAAAAAAUAAAAAAAAAAAAAAUUGGGAAGGAGUAUUUGGAUUUAUCUACAGAUGAUGCUUUUCUCCCUGUUCGUCCACAGUGGAAUUCUAGAUUCUUAAGCAUCUUUUUUUUUCUUCCACGUUGAAAGAAACACAAAGACACAAAUGAGUUCAGUUAACUUCAAGUAAGGGAGGACUUGGUCUUAAAAUGUGCUACUGAUUAAAAGUGCAGGUUAUGACACAUCACAGAUCUAUGGAACAGCCUCCUCUACUCUGAUGCUGUAAAUCCAGAAUAAGGUCAGGCCCACAUGACAAACUUUUCCUGCAGAUUUGUAUCAACAGGGCAAUAAUCCCACUGUGCCUCAGACCCAUCAUCACCACUGCACCAGCAAAACCUUUUUGGGUAGGACUGGUUUGCUAAAAAAGGCACUUCUGCUUUGUGAAGGUGGUCAGGCUGUGGCAGCAGGGGAGUUUCUGCUGGGUAGUGCCAGAGGAGUGGCUGUAGGAGAGCUGGAGGUUGGCACAGGCAAGGUCUGCACUGCUGGUGGGAUGUCUGUGGGUGCCAGAGGGUCCCA
Corapipo altera (White-ruffed manakin) is the source of this 2432-nucleotide long non-coding RNA. RefSeq lists it as uncharacterized. The transcript has 2 exons. NCBI's taxonomy places the organism in Eukaryota, Metazoa, Chordata, Aves, Passeriformes, Pipridae. The record is from RefSeq and is a predicted model, not a curated record.